CAGUAGCCGCGGGAAUACGAAGGGCGCAAGCGUUAAUCGGAAUUACUGGGCGUAAAGCGUGCGCAGGCGGUUGUGUAAGACAGGUGUGAAAUCCCCGGGCUUAACCUGGGAACUGCGCUUGUGACUGCACAGCCAGAGUAUGGCAGAGGGGGGUGGAAUUCCACGUGUAGCAGUGAAAUGCGUGGAGAUGUGGAGGAACACCGAUGGCGAAGGCAGCCCCCUGGGCCAAUACUGACGCUCAUGCACGAAAGCGUGGGGAGCAAACAGGAUUAGAUACCCCUGUAGUCCCUGUCUCUUAUAC
This 301-nucleotide ribosomal RNA is filed under the name uncultured bacterium. RNAcentral describes it as "partial 16S ribosomal RNA". It matches the Rfam family "Bacterial small subunit ribosomal RNA", at positions 509 to 807 of the family's 1533-position model. The record is from RNAcentral.